UACGUAGGGACCAAGCGUUGUCCGGAAUCAUUGGGCGUAAAGAGCGUGUAGGCGGCUUGUUAAGUCUUGCGUGAAAUCUCGGGGCUCAACCCCGAGCGGUCGUGAGAAGCUGGCAGGCUAGAGUGCGGGAGAGGAGAGUGGAAUUCCCGGUGUAGUGGUGAAAUGCGUAGAUAUCGGGAGGAACACCAGUGGCGAAGGCGACUACCUGGCCUGUUUCUUGACGCUGAGGCGCGAAAGCUAGGGGAGCAAACGGG
This 254-nucleotide ribosomal RNA is filed under the name uncultured bacterium. Its description in RNAcentral is "partial 16S ribosomal RNA". It matches the Rfam family "Bacterial small subunit ribosomal RNA", at positions 524 to 776 of the family's 1533-position model. The record is from RNAcentral.